This 652-nucleotide long non-coding RNA is filed under the name Mytilus galloprovincialis (Mediterranean mussel). The record is from RNAcentral. Lineage: Eukaryota; Metazoa; Mollusca; Bivalvia; Mytilida; Mytilidae.
UAAUAUUUGUUAUAAUAUUUUCUAUUCAAUUAAUUAAUUACUGUUACCAAGUACAUAGUGAAUAUGUUGUUGUGUAUUUUGGUAAACCACGAAACGAAAGUGAAUAUGUAGUGUAUAAAGGUAAACAACGAAGCCCUUACCAAAGCUGUUGUUUUAACAAUUAGACAAUUUGUGUAAUUGUAAAAACAAGUCAAUUAUUAAAAUAAAAUGGAAAACUAUGAGUCCCUUUCAAUAAAUCAAACUUGCAUGCCAAAUAAUUAGCAAAUUUAAGGUGUUUGUUUUUCAGUAAAGUUUAAACAGCAUUAAACCAACAAUCCUGUAAAAUGCUCAACUGGUUAAAAUAAUGCAGAAAAAUACACAAUUAUAUCUCAUGUAUAAGUCCAAAUAAUUAUGACGUCUGGCAAGGCUAUUUUAUUAUUUUUCUGGGACGCCUUCCUACGACGUUCGUAGGAAGGCGUCCCAGAAAAAAAAAUUAACAUAGCCUUUUCGGUCAUAGGAAGGUGUUCCAGAAUAAAAUUAAAAAAGCCUUGCCAGACGUAAUAAUUAUUUGGACUACUCAUAUAUAUAUAUAUAUAUAUAUAUCAUUAAAAAUACACCAAAAAAGUCAUUAGUUGAGAAAAAUAAAUAUAUACAAAAUGUACAUGAACACCCA